Molecule: non-coding RNA, 24 nt
Filed under: Arabidopsis thaliana (thale cress)
Lineage: Eukaryota; Viridiplantae; Streptophyta; Magnoliopsida; Brassicales; Brassicaceae
Source: RNAcentral
GGACAAAGCUCCGGGUCCGGAUGG